CCACAUCUAGCACACACGCUUUUCACAUAACAUUUGAAAAGAAUUUUGGUGCAUCCUGGAUGAAAGGCUUCUUGGAGACUGAAUUCGGGUGGACUCCUGGAUCUCCAGUAUAUAUAUUAAUCCAGGAAAUUGUCCUAUGGAAAAUAAAAAAUAUAAGAACCAUGAGCUGAAGGCAUGCUUGUAAUUAAAACAACCUACAUGUAAUCCGCCAGGGAGAAUGAUACUACAAAAAAGGUUAAAUCUCUUGUACUGAAAACCGUGCAAAGGAGUGCCCCCACUGUAAUAAUAUAAAUUUCCUGGGACGUAUAUUUAAUAGCUCAAUUUUGUUCAAAUUUCUGGGAAUAUUAAUCAUAAAGCCGAAGAACGCAUGAAAGAGCAAACCAAAUAUAUCUACCGUACGACACCGAAAAAGAUGUCCAUUGGAACUAUUUUGUUAACAAAAUUGACAACCACAAUAACCAUAACAAUCCUCCACAAAAGGCUGGUAUACACCAGAAUACUUUCACUCAUAAAUUCUGUCCAAAAGCUAAGGUUUAUUCUUAGAUGCAAAUAUACUAUCAACUCAUAAAGCUAAGAUAUCCCUUUGGACUAGAUCACCUAAGCUAGCACUAAUAUCGACUUUUACUUUGCAAAAAAUCAGAAGAUCUUCACACUUUCCUCUGUCCCAAAUCUAAUAGGUUUACAACCCUGAUAUAUGCAUUGACCACUGUCAGGUUGCAUUUGAAAAGCACAAGGGGAAAAGGCACAACAACCACGUGUAGGGCUGCUCCGAGAAACUCAGAUGCUUAGUUUUCAUCUUGAUGUUGUAAGGUAGCAGAGACUCCAUAGAAACAAACACAUCGAAGCAAAGAGAAAAGAAGAAAAAUGGCUACAUAGCAAGCAAUGAUAAUGAAAGAGAUUUUCAGUUAUCACUGACCACCAGAACACUAUCGGCUCCAUAAAAAUGGCUUGGUAUUGACUGUUGAAUGACAGAAGAACUGAAUAUACAAGAAUAAGCCAUAAGGCACACUUCUCACAAAAAAGAGAUGGCCACCAUCAAGAAGCACGGGCCUAGUAUGUCUGUAAUAACAGAGAUGCUAUUGUUCAAUAUAAGUAAACUAUUCCAUGAGCAAAAGGAAAACAUGCAUGUAGCUAGAAAUCAAAGAAUACACAUGUAGCUAGAAAGAAAGGAAGCAAACCUCGAGCAGCAAAACAGAGUUACAACAAAACAGAAGAUCAACAUGCAGCAACAUAGGAGAUCGCAUAACCUGGUAAAUAAACAUAAAUGAAGUAGUCAGAGCAGGCAAAGAAAACUUCAUGCGCUAAGGCAUUAAAACAUUUUACAGUUCAGUUUGCAAGUUCAAAUUGACACCAUGGCGGCGCACAACUAUAGAGUAAAAGAUGGAUUGCAACUGAAAUAUCUCUCCUUGUAUUUCCUAUAUCCCACACACCUAAAUUAAACCAGCAAGUUAGCAUGUAAUUAUUAACAAAGAAACACCACAACAACCUAAUCAACCAUAUCCCUUCUUUAAUAUUUCCUUUCUUUUUUGUAAUUCUAUUUUUUCAACAUGUCACAAGGAUUUAUGCCAAUUUAAUCUCACACUAAGAUCCAAACUUAGUGUGUGGCAUAUAUGUUAAUACCCCCAACCUAAAAUCUGAGAAGAGCAAGAACAACAAAACUGAGAAAGUUCCCUUGGUUAUUCUAAGUUUUUGUCACGCCCAAUAUGCGACCCUAUCCAAAAGGAACUCGAAGGUCCCACUAAGGAUAGACCCGCAUAUUAAAACGCUUUCGCAAGGUGGAUAUCAUUACAUCAACAUUACAUAAUAGAUGGGGAUACAUACAAGAGGCAUACAAUGCCACACGAAUAGAUCAAUACAUCAUACAUAAGAUCACCAUCCGACUACGGAUGAAACACAAAUAGAAACUCAAACGACAUCCACCCUGCUAGCCCAGGCUGCCGACCUGGAACCUAUCCCCUGAUCGAAGAAGAAGCAGAAGAAGAACUCCAGAAACAAGCAAACAUCGCUCUCGCGUCAAGAUCAUCGCAUAACCUGUACCUGCAACUGUUGUUGUAGUAAUCUGUGAGCCACGAGGACUCAGCAAUCCCAUAACCAUGGGUAUCAAGACUAGAAAAGCUUAAUGGGAAAGGAAGGGGUAAAGUGGUGAGGUUACGGCAGCGACUAAGCAUGAUAUGGUGGCUAACAUACGCAAAUAAGAGCGAGAAGAGAACAAGCGGAACGGUCGUCAACUAGCAAUGAUCAAGAAGUGAUCCUGAACUCCUACUUACGUCAAACAUAACCCAAAGACCGUGUUCACUUCCCGGACUCCGCCGAGAAGAGACCAUCACGGCUACACACGCGGUUGAUGCGUUUUAAUUCGGAUCUGGUGUCAAGUUAUCUACAACCGGACAUUAACAAAUUCCCAUCUGCCACAUAACCACGGGCACGGCUCUCGAAAGUUUAAUACCCUGCAGGGGUGUCCCAACUUAGCCCAUGAUAAGCUCUCGCGAUCAACGAAGGAUAUACCUUCUCCCAGGAAGACCCGAUCAGUCUCGGAAUCCCGGUUUACAAGACAUUUCGACAAUGGUAAAACAAGACCAGCAAAGCCGCCUGAUGCGUCGACAAUCCCGAUAGGAGCUGCACAUAUCUCGUUCUCAGGGCAACACCAGAUAAGUCAAGCUACGAGUAAAACCAGACGUCGAGUUGCCCCGAGGUGGCCCCGCAGGUUGCUCGGUUCGGGCCAACACUUAGACAAGCACUGGCCCGGGGGGGCUAAAAUAAAGAUGACCCCUGGGUUGGCCGACCCAGGGGAAGGGUAUAGGUGGUGUUGAGGCAAAUGGUAAAACCAAGGUUGGGCCUUGCUGGACAAGUUUUAUUCAAAGCGAACUGUCAAGGGGUUCCCAUAAAUCACCCGACCGCGUUAGGAACGCAAAAUACGGGAACAUAACACCGGUAUGACGGAAACUAGGGCGGCAAGAGUGGAAAAAAACACCAGGCAUAAGGCCGAGCCUUCCACCCUUUACCAAGUAUAUAGAUGCAUUAAUUAAAUAAGAGAUAUCGUGAUAUCCCAACAUAAUCCUAUCCACCAUGGAGCAAUCUUCAACUUCACCUGCAACUAACAACGCUAUGAGAGGGGCUGAGCAAAGCGGUAACAUAGCCAAACAACGGUUUGCUAGGAAGGGUGUCAAAGGUUAGAGGUUCAUGGCAAUAUGGGAGGCUUGAUAGAACAAGUUAUAGGAAGCGCAGCAUAGCGAUAGAACGAAGCCACUAGCAUAGCAAUGAUAGUAGUGAGAUCCAGGGUAGCGGUCAUCUUGCCUGAAAUCCCGCUAGGAAGAAGAACGAGUCCAUGAAGAAGAUGAAGCCACGAAGACGAACCACACGUAGACGAACGAAUCCUCACGAUCGCAACGAAAAGGGAACUAUCGAGAAGAAGCACACAACAUGGUAAACACACCACACAUAGUGAAGACAUGAUGCACAACCAAGCAUGAUGCAUGACAAAGCUAGAUGAGGCUACUCAUGGCAAGAGAUGAUGCAAACAAGAACAACACAUUAAAGCAAGUUUAAAUGAGGCCGGAAACAACAUAUAACAAUUCCGGUAAGUCCUCAUAUGCAAAUUUCGAAAUUGGUCCAGAACUGAAUAAACCUUAUGUUCAAGUUGUUAAACAGCAAGUUAAGAUGCACCAAGAUGAUCUACACGAGAUUCUAGUCAAGUUACAUAUAAAGUUCAUUAGAUUUGGAGCUACGGCCUAGAAGAUAUGAGCAAAACAAGUUAAACAUGGCAUUGAUGCAAAAUGCAUUCAAACAUCAAGCAAACACCUCAAAACAAGGAUGCAACAUGAUAAUAUGAAACAACAUGCAAAAUCAAGCAAGUUUCAUAUAAAGCACACUCAAAACGGAGCAACGGUACAACACAUACUCUAUAAAAGUUAUAGCAACAAUCUGUCCAUAACAGCAACUAGGCACCUUACAAGCAUCAAAACAACAAGCUACAACAUCUCACCGUAAUAACAAAAGGCAUGGGCAUGAAGUACAGGUAAAGCAUAACUAAACAUGAACACUGAGCUAUCUCUAGAAACAACUAGAACAUGCUCAAAAGGACAUGGAAAGAUUGCACCUAAUAACAGUUUCAGACUUAUCAGGAAAUAACAUCAGGUUGCAAUGUUUAGAGCUAUCAAACAACAUGUUACAGGAACUUAUCAUGGCAAACAUAGGCAUUGAAUGAAUCUACUAAUUGCAUAGAACAAAAGUCCCUUACUGACCAUGAGCCAAAAGGGCACAGAAAAUAUGAUGGCACCCAUGUAAACAUGGCAAAAGAUAUGACAGAUUCAUACAUGGCAGGAACAACGUUCAGUAGGCAUGUUGGUGAGCUUGAAUCACUCACCACAGAGCAAUACAUGGCAUGGCAAGGCAACCAACAGUAAGAAUACAUGUUUAUAAAGCUAAGCAUGGCAAGAGCAAGUUCAUAGGGUACAUGGAUCACUAGAAAAGCACAUGGCCAAAACUAAACUUCAUGUUAACAGGCUGACAGCAACAUUAUUUAGCAAGUUUGGAGCAAGAUUACAACAAGCUACAGGAGACUAUAAAUUCAACCAGGGGCAUUAAUGGAUAGAGCAGGACAUGUAUAACAAAGCAUCCUUAGUGAACAUCUCCAGAUUAUGCAUAGAAUGACUUGUAGCAGCAGGUUUACAUAGCAACAAAAUAUCACAGAAUCAGUCAGGAAAACAGCAACAGCAAGUACCCUACUUAACAAGCUCGAUGCACUCACUACACAACCCACAAAAAUACAUGGAUGGCACCACUGGAAAGAUGACAUAGAAUAGAUCAAAACACAAGUAGAGCUCAACCUCACAGGAUGCACACAUCAAACAUGGCAAAAAUGACAAAUGAGCAUGUUAUAACAGUUUCAGCAGAUUAACAGCAACAUGCACUCUUACAAUGAUGAUUCGGGCAUCAAUAUGAGCUCAAAUGAACAUGAUGCAAUGGAAUAAAAUGAAGUACUCGUCGAGGCAAACAAUUUGACAUAUUACACGCACGAAACGGAGAAGUAUGCAACAAGUUAUGAUGCGACAAAUAUGGCAUGAAAAUAUGCAGAUCUGGGGACUUGAUGAAAAUAUACCCUCGCGAAGAAACGGGACGAAGGCGUUCCGGGACGAGGGGAUCCAGGACGGGCGCGCCGUUUGGUUCGGAAACUCGGUGGAUCUCGUCCCACCUGGAGGAUCUGACCGGAGGAGAGCUCCGGCGAGCUCUCCGACGAGGAAGACGCGGGGAGGAGGGCCGGCGAAGCUUGCGNNNNNNNNNNNNNNNNNNNNNNNNNNNNNNNNNNNNNNNNNNNNNNNNNNNNNNNNNNNNNNNNNNNNNNNNNNNNNNNNNNNNNNNNNNNNNNNNNNNNNNNNNNNNNNNNNNNNNNNNNNNNNNNNNNNNNNNNNNNNNNNNNNNNNNNNNNNNNNNNNNNNNNNNNNNNNNNNNNNNNNNNNNNNNNNNNNNNNNNNNNNNNNNNNNNNNNNNNNNNNNNNNNNNNNNNNNNNNNNNNNNNNNNNNNNNNNNNNNNNNNNNNNNNNNNNNNNNNNNNNNNNNNNNNNNNNNNNNNNNNNNNGGGCCCGGUGCGGCCCGGGGCGGGCUCCCCGUGGGCCGAGCAGGCCGCGGCGGCGGGGAGGAGAGAGAGGAGGCGCGGGGACACGUGGCGUGCCGUGAUUCGUCCGGCGCGGUGGCUGGACGUGUCCGGCGGCGGAGUGGACAUGUCCGGCGCGCGAAGGUGGAAGAGGCUAGGGUUUGCACCGCAAAUUUCGGAGGGGAAGCUGUAUUUAUAGGUAGAAGGAGCUAGGAGUGUCCAAAUGGAGUGCGGUUUUCGGCCACGCGAUCGUGAUCGAAAGACCGAGAGCAUGGAAGAGACUAAGAUGGGUUUUGGGCCACUUUGGAAGGGGUGUUGGGCUGCAAAGAGAAGGAGGCUUUUACGGUUACCCGGUUAACCGUUGGAGUAUCACACGACCUCCAAAUGGCACGAAACUUGACAGGCGGUCUACCGGUGCUAUACCAAGGCCGCUUGGCAAACCUCGGGCCAUUCCGAGAAAGUUUAAUACCCGCUCACAACAGAAGACAAAAGGGGAACACCGGAUGACAUAGGAGUGCCGGAUUGCAAAACAGACAACGGGGAAAAAGCUCGGAUGCAUGAAACGAACAAGUAUGCAAAUGCGACGCACAUGAUGACAUGAUAUGAAAUGCAUAUGAUGACAUGGCAAAGUGCAACACGCAAGCAAAAGACAUGGCAACGACGGCGAAUAACUGGCAGACAACUGGCGCAACGAAUCCGGGGCGUUACAGUUUUCGUCGAACUGGCAAAAUCAUUUGUAGGCAACUCAAGUUAUACGCCGCGUGCAAGAAGUGAACUUCCUCAGAAACCUCACAAAUGUACGACAAGUCAGGUAAGUAACACUAUAUUGAGGAUGAAAAAAAAUGCUUAUCGAUACAUGAGUUGAGAAACCAAUCAUAUACCUUCAGAUUCAAUGACACAAUUAUCCUCGAAAGAUCUUAAGCCUGGAGGUCCCUUCAACUGAACAAAAAACAGCAAGUCUGCAUAUCAAUCAACAACACAAGAGACAUCUUGUUAGCAAAUCCAGCAGUAAACGAAAAAACACGCUACUAAUUCUUAAUAUCAUUAACCUAUAAGAUUUGUACACGCAAAGUCAUGUUAGUGAUUCUUACACCAAAUCAGUAUACCACCGCCAUAGUACUACACCGUCUAAUUACUAUAUGAUUGUCAGACUGAAG
Molecule: long non-coding RNA, 6747 nt
Filed under: Triticum aestivum (bread wheat)
Lineage: Eukaryota; Viridiplantae; Streptophyta; Magnoliopsida; Poales; Poaceae
Description: long non-coding RNA (TAES_LNC007064)
Source: RNAcentral